CCACCGGCGUAAAAUCAAGUCAAAGGCUGCUGUCUCAUAAUAUGGCGAAGACGAGUCACCUGAAGGCCUAACUCGCCAUAGAAGACUGAAAGAAUUGUCCUGCAGGAUGCUGUGUCCUGCAAUCCUGUGUACUGUGCUACAGACGCACGUGGAGGUCAACCCAAAAUGGGCACAGUCUCACCGCAGAAGAGUGAAAGAGGAUCCUGGCAGGGAGACGGUAGUGUCCUGCAGAAUGGUGAUGGGCCAAUCUUACAAGAGACCACAGAAAACUGAUAUAGUGAACUAUAGAAACAACAGUGCCUGCUGCAGUAUAAUGAGGACACCCUGAGCAGAGGGCUCCAAUAGACCCAGGUCCAGUGUCUUGGCAGGGUGAAAUGGCACUGAUAUGGUGUCCUGCAGGAUGCUGUGUCCUGCAAUCCUGUGUGCUGUGCUACAGACGCGUGUGGAGGUCAACCCAAAAUGGGCACAGUCUCACCACAGAAGAGUGAAAGAGGCUUUAAAACUUAAGGCCACCGCUAUGGAGGGAGCGGCUGCAACCGCCACCAGCGCAGCAGCUGCCCAACAAGCUCGACCCUCCGAUUCCUCCACCUCCAGCUCCUCCACCUCCUCUUCAAGUGACUCGGAGCCAGAGAGGAAGAGAAAGAAGAGGAACAAGAGAGACAGGAAAAAGAGAGAGAAGAAGAGGAUGGAGAAGAAGCAGAAGAAGAGGAAGAAGGACAAGCACAGACAGACAGAAGGAGAGAACUUGCGAACACUUGCACCCUAUUGCGGAGCUCGCCUUCAGGUGGGCACAUGCAGAAAAUUGAACAGCUUAAUGAUUAACAACGAUUUUUAGAACCUGAACAAGGACUGCCUGCUUACCUUUUUUUUUUUCAUCUUUUUGAAAUAUCUAGCAGGUCCCCCUUUCUUUUCAGUUGCUGUAUCUCCUGCAUGUGCCCACCUGAUUCACACUGUGUGGCACAGUCCUUGGCGAAGUUAAAUAAACUAUCACCAGGAAGAUAUGUCUCCCUAAUUUCCAUGUAAUCAUCAGGGCUGACCGUUGCAAGCUCCGCAAUAGGGGCUUGGUUGCAGAUGGUAUUUCUGUCGAUCGGAAUUUUUUCGUACGCCGCCGUCUUGCUUAAACCCUUUCUCACCAGCCUGACCACCUCCAUAUAGCGGGGGGCUAGCGGGAGCUGUCUGUAAAAUAUCUGUAUUUUGUUUGUAUAUUUUACAGUAUCACCGCGGAAGGGCCUCUGCUACAUGGCGAAGAAAAAAAUAGGUCUUUGGCAUUUUAGGGAUAAGAAACGAGCGGAGGUGUCCCAUCCUGUGGCUGGUGAGGAGAAGAGGACGGGAGAAUCUUAUCCCAAUUGUGGUCAAGCAUGUGCGUCCAGGAGCCACCCUGAUCAGUGAUGAGUGGCGAGCAUACAGAGGCGCAUUAGCUGCCAUUGGCUACACUCACUUCACUGUUAACCAUUCAAGAUGGUUUGUUGAUCCAAACAGUGGGGCCCAUACACAGCACCUUGAGAGGGGUUACUGCCACACUUAUUGUGUGUGUGUGUGUGUGUGUGUGUGUGUGUGUGUGUGUGUGUGUGUGUGUGUGUGUUACAAUAUGUGAAGGCCUAUGACUUGCUUUCAUAAUAAUAAAAAGUUAUUGCUCUC
Engraulis encrasicolus (European anchovy) is the source of this 1638-nucleotide long non-coding RNA. RefSeq lists it as uncharacterized. NCBI's taxonomy places the organism in Eukaryota, Metazoa, Chordata, Actinopteri, Clupeiformes, Engraulidae. The transcript is spliced from 7 exons. The record is from RefSeq and is a predicted model, not a curated record.